UUUAACGGCCGCGGUAUUUUGACCGUGCAAAGGUAGCGCAAUCAAUUGUCUUUUAAAUGAAGACCCGUAUGAAUGGCAUAACGAGGGCUCAACUGUCUCCCCUUUCAGGUCAAUGAAGCUGAUCUCCCCGUGCAGAAGCGGGGAUAACAACAUAAGACGAGAAGACCCUAUGGAGCUUAAAACGCAAGAAUAGAUCAAAUAAUUAUCCUACAUUAAUAAGAUAUAGACAACUGACUCCUAUUCUAGUGUUUUUGGUUGGGGCGACCGCGGGGUAAAACAAACCCCCCGUGCAGAAUGAAAACACACAUCCUCCUAUUUAAGGGCGACAGCUUUAGAAAUCAGAACCUCUGACUAACAGAUCCGGGUAACCGAUUAACGAACCAAGUUACCCUAGGGAUAACAGCGCAAUCCUCUUUUAGAGCCCAUAUCGACAAGAGGGUUUACGACCUCGAUGUUGGACCAGGACAUCCUAAUGGUGCAGCUGCUAUUAAGGGUUCGUUUGUUCAACGAUUAAAGUCCU
This 520-nucleotide ribosomal RNA is filed under the name Callopanchax toddi. RNAcentral's name for it is "partial 16S ribosomal RNA". It matches the Rfam family "Bacterial large subunit ribosomal RNA", at positions 1923 to 2597 of the family's 2925-position model. The record is from RNAcentral. Lineage: Eukaryota; Metazoa; Chordata; Actinopteri; Cyprinodontiformes; Nothobranchiidae.